Leucoraja erinaceus (little skate) is the source of this 2946-nucleotide long non-coding RNA. RefSeq lists it as uncharacterized. Lineage: Eukaryota; Metazoa; Chordata; Chondrichthyes; Rajiformes; Rajidae. The record is from RefSeq and is a predicted model, not a curated record. The transcript has 3 exons.
AUAAUAUUGGAUUCACAAGAAUCUUAAUACAACGAUCCAUCAAUUGAUCUCAGUUAGAAUUACAUUUAAGAAUGGCCCAAUAAAAAAUGCGAAUAAACCCUCUCCUUGCAACCAUUACACCUCAAAAACGGCUGUAAAUCAUGUAACUUUCGAUGUGUUUAGGCCACAUAUAUAUCUAGUUUAGUUAUCACUGACUCGAGGAAAGUCCUGAUUAACGGCGACUUUUCCUUGGGAUUUUAAUUGCACUUUUCACCGAUCUAAAUAAAUUAGCCACUUUAAUGAGAGUUGUUAUUAUUCAGGACACGUUAAUAAUGACUUUAAUGGGUCUUUGGAUGCUGUGACUGAACGCUUUCUCGGCAACAACUUUUUUUUUUGCUGGCUUUCCGUGAUAAGAAUAGUUGAACACGUUCAAUUAUUCAAGAAAUGCAUCCGGCGCAGUUUAGCUCUCGGAAGUUCUUGUCAAUAGCUUUUCUCUUUUGAAGAAAGAACAAAAAAAAAAUCAUCGACGCUCUUCUCCCAUCGCUUUUAUUUUCCAGUUGGAAUGGAUUUGAGUUAGAUUUUGGAUUGUGUGAAAUGGCACUUCAGGAAUAACCCAAUAUUCUUUAAACGGUGGCAAAAAAAAAGUAUAUUAAAAAAUCUCCCCAAAUAGCCUUUCAGGGAUUAAGCACAGUUGCCACGUUAAUAAGGUUGAGUUGUGAUAUGAUAAUAAAUGAUAAUAAAUGAAUUGCAAAGGUAAAUCCUCAUUGCAUAAUGUUUAUUUCGAAUGAUCUAUGAACAAAAAUAACUCUGUUGUGACCCGUUUUAUAAUUGCCAGCCGGGGUUUUGUGGGAACGAAUUUGUUCGAUUAACAAGCGCGCCGAGAAAUGCCUGCCCCCCUUCAACAUGGGAACAAUGUAAGAUCGCCUUAAUCGUCUCAUUGACUACUGUUUAUCUGUGCUGAAGAAAGCGGCGUGUCAACAGAACUCGCGAAAGGCAGGACGCUGUGGAGUUGUAAUAAUUUAUUGGGACCAGAGGUGGCGCCACGGUCCCGAAAAACCUGAUCAAACUUCUCCCCACCAGCCAGCAAGGAAGGCAAUGUCAACCGAUGCCCCCUCCAAGAAUCACAACAUGAGGAGCGCACCUCCCCCAAGUUAUGCUUCAUUCGUUUACUGGACUGGUUCUUAAAACAAAAACCGCCAGAGACCCCGGAUCGAUCCCGACUAUGGGUGCUGUCUGUACUGAGUUUGUACGCUCUACCCAUGACCGUGUGAGUUUUCCCCGAGAUCUUAGGUUUCCUCCCACACUCCAAAGAUGUACAGCUGAAGACUGCAUUUCCCUGAAGGGAAGAAGACCAGCAAAAGGAAAGAAGCAAAACACAUUUGAUUUUUGAUCAGCCUUUAUUGGAAAAUAAACUUUAAAAUAGUUAAGCAAUAUUGAUUUUGAUGAAAAAAUAUAUAUUUUUAUUAGAAGCAAACACAUAUUAUAAACAUUUCAUGUAUAUCAGUCAUAUAUUAUUAAUAUUGUCAAUUUUGAUUUUGAUCAUUACCAUCAUAUAAUAAAUGCAUCAACUGGGGAACGAAGAAUGUCACUUGGAAUGGCUGUAGUCAAAGCAUGAAUAACAAAAAAUAGAAUAAUAACAAGUCUCUACUGCAUUAAAGUAAAUAAACAAUAGGGAAGUGAAUCUAAGACUGUAAAGUGAUCUUAUUGGUCUGAGGACAUCACAAAGGGAAACACUUUCUGAAUAUCCUGGAUAUCAUUUAUUCUUUUUAAAGCCCAAAGUGAUGGGGGAACUCAACAGGUAAAGCGGCAUCGGUGGAAGGAAUGGAUAAGCAAAAAUGAACAAGCCUGCCUUGACCUAUGUGAUGGCAGACACAAAAUGCUGGAGUAACUCAGCGGGACUGGCAGCAUCUCUGGAGAGAAGGAAUGGGGGACGUUUCGGGUCGAGACCCACUCGAUCUCCUGAUCUGCCAAACACUUUAACUCUCCUUCACAUUUUCACACUGAACUUCCUGUCCUGGGCCUCAUCCACUGUCAGAGUGAGGCCCAAUGCAAAUUGAACAGCACCUCAUGUUUUGCUCGAUGCUGCUAACAAACCUGCGGUGUGAAUAUUGAUUUCGCUACUUUCAAGUAAUCGUUGCAUUCCCUCUCUCUCCUCCCCUCCCUUAUAAGUUUCACUGUCAUCCGUCUUAGUUCACUGUUUGUAUCUGCUUGUUAGCAGCUUUUCCGCAGCCCACAAUGGACCAUUGUGGGCUCCACAUUUCCUUGAUCUUCGGUGCUGGCUUUGAUUUAUUCUUCCCAUACCUUUCAUUCAUUUGUUCUUUUUACCUUUUCAUACCUCUAGUUUCCCUCUUCCCCUGACUCUCAAUCUGAAGAAGGGUCUCGACCCGAAAUGUCACAAAAUGUCUCCUUUUCUCCAGCGAUGCUGCCUGACUCCUGAGUUACUCCAGCAUUUUGUGUCCAUCUUUAACAGCCUCUCAUUAUACGGACCUCGCUCUGAAUGUUGUCCAUUGUGGCCAGGUAUCAGUCAUGGAGAUGUCUAGCCUAAGUGCAGUUAUCCGUCAAAUUGAAUGUGCAUUGAAAAACUACGACAGAUACUGAAAUUCUGGAGACAUUCAACAGGUCAAAUGGCAUCGUUGGACAGAGAAAUGGAUGAUGUUGAAGAUCUUCACCUGAACAUUGUUUACACAUUGUGCCAAGCUAGAAAUGAAAGUUGAAAGAUACACAUAAUAUUAAGGUAGAAGCUCUGGUGGCAACCUUUGUACUAACAAAAGUGUACUUUGCCAUAUUUAUCUGAAAAAACAGAAUGCACGGCGCGUAACGGUAGAGCUACUGCCUUACAGCACCAGAGACCCGGGUUUGACCCUGUAAACGGGUGCUGUCCGUACGGAGUUUGUACAUUCUCCCUGUGACCUGCGUGGGUUUUCUCCGAGAUCUUCGGUUUCCUCCCACAUUCCAAAGACGUACAGG